GGGAGAGAGGUGUGGAGAGAGGUGUGGAGAGAGGUGGGAGAGUGUAAUAGGGAGAGAGGUGUGAGUGUAAUAUGAAGAGAGAUGUGGAGAGAGGUGUGGAGAGAUGUGGAGAGAGGUGGGAGAGUGUAAUAGGGAGAGAGGUGUGAGAGUGUAAUAUGAAGAGAGGUGUGGAGAGAGAUGUGGAGAGAGGUGUGCGAGUGUAAUAGGGAGAGAGGUGUGGAGAGAGAUGUGGAGAGAGGUGUGAGAGUGUAAUAGGGAGAGAGGUGUGGAGAGAGAUGGGAGAGUGUAAUAGGGAAAUAGGUGUGAGAAUGUAAUAGGG
Molecule: long non-coding RNA, 319 nt
Organism: Oncorhynchus keta (chum salmon)
Lineage: Eukaryota; Metazoa; Chordata; Actinopteri; Salmoniformes; Salmonidae
Exons: 3
Source: RefSeq, a predicted model, not a curated record